RNAcentral lists this ribosomal RNA (439 nucleotides) under uncultured bacterium. Its description in RNAcentral is "bacterial SSU rRNA". It matches the Rfam family "Bacterial small subunit ribosomal RNA", at positions 13 to 431 of the family's 1533-position model. The record is from RNAcentral.
UUGAUCAUGGCUCAGGACGAACGCUGGCGGCGCGCCUAACACAUGCAAGUCGAACGGAGUUAUUUUGGCAGAAGCCUUCGGGUGGACGCUGAUAUAACUUAGUGGCGAACGGGUGAGUAACACGUGAGCAACCUGCCCUUCAGAGGGGGACAACAGUUGGAAACGACUGCUAAUACCGCAUAAGACCACGGUGUGGCAUCACACAGAGGUCAAAGGAGAAAUCCGCUGAAGGAUGGGCUCGCGUCCAAUUAGCUAGAUGGUGAGGUAACGGCCCACCAUGGCGACGAUUGGUAGCCGGACUGAGAGGUUGAUCGACCACAUUGGGACUGAGACACGGCCCAGACUCCUACGGGAGGCAGCAGUGGGGAAUAUUGCACAAUGGAGGAAACUCUGAUGCAGCGACGCCGCGUGAGGGAAGAAGGUCUUCGGAUUGUAAACC